RNAcentral lists this microRNA precursor (94 nucleotides) under Culex quinquefasciatus (southern house mosquito). Its description in RNAcentral is "microRNA cqu-mir-1000 precursor". The stretch from base 12 to 82 matches the Rfam family "mir-1000 microRNA precursor family". The record is from miRBase by way of RNAcentral. Lineage: Eukaryota; Metazoa; Arthropoda; Insecta; Diptera; Culicidae.
UUUUGCUAGAAAACGAUUAUAUUGUCCUGUCACAGCAGUACUUUUCCUUAGCUUACUGUUGUUUCGGGACAUUUACAUUGAUUCUAGCCGUCAC